RNAcentral lists this transfer RNA (68 nucleotides) under uncultured Parvicella sp. It matches the Rfam family "tRNA". Rfam says of the family: Transfer RNA (tRNA) molecules are approximately 80 nucleotides in length. Their secondary structure includes four short double-helical elements and three loops (D, anti-codon, and T loops). RNAcentral also lists the same sequence under 1 other name. Lineage: Bacteria; Pseudomonadati; Bacteroidota; Flavobacteriia; Flavobacteriales; Parvicellaceae. The record is from RNAcentral.
GGGAGUAGCUCAGUUGGUAGAGCAUCAGCCUUCCAAGCUGAGGGUCGCGAGUUCGAAUCUCGUCUCCC